Molecule: regulatory RNA element, 123 nt
Organism: Erwinia billingiae
Lineage: Bacteria; Pseudomonadati; Pseudomonadota; Gammaproteobacteria; Enterobacterales; Erwiniaceae
Rfam family: RtT RNA
About the family: This family represents a bacterial cis-regulatory element known as RtT RNA. The exact function of RtT is unknown although it is thought that it may be involved in changing the cellular response in relation to amino acid starvation.
Source: Rfam
GCUAUCUGCGAUUCGUGUAGGAUUUGAACCUGCAGCAGGUCGAGUCGAACGAAGAGAGACAGCGUUGCGACAGCAACGACCCGAAGGGCGAGGCGAAGCCGAGUCAUCCUGCACGACCCACCA